RNAcentral lists this ribosomal RNA (244 nucleotides) under uncultured bacterium. RNAcentral's name for it is "partial small subunit ribosomal RNA". It matches the Rfam family "Bacterial small subunit ribosomal RNA", at positions 26 to 285 of the family's 1533-position model. The record is from RNAcentral.
AGAAUCAACGCUGGCGGCGUGCCUAACACAUGCAAGUCGCACGAGAAAGGGGAGCAAUCCCUGAGUAAAGUGGCGCACGGGUGAGUAACACGUGAAUGAUCUACCUCCGAGUGGGGAAUAACCAAAGAAAUUUUGGCUAAUACCGCAUAACACUUACGAGUCAAAGCAGCAAUGCGCUUGGAGAGGAGUUCGCGGCAGAUUAGCUAGUUGGCGGGGUAAUGGCCCACCAAGGCGAUGAUCGGUA